UACGGGGGGGGCAAGCGUUGUUCGGAAUUACUGGGCGUAAAGGGCUUGUAGGCGGCCAACUAAGUCAUACGUGAAAUCCCUCGGCUUAACCGGGGAACUGCGUCCGAUACUGGCAGGCUUGAAUUCGGGAGAGGGAUGCGGAAUUCCAGGUGUAGCGGUGAAAUGCGUAGAUAUCUGGAGGAACACCGGUGGCGAAGGCGGCAUCCUGGACCGAGAUUGACGCUGAGGCGCGAAAGCCAGGGGAGCAAACGGG
Molecule: ribosomal RNA, 253 nt
Filed under: uncultured bacterium
Lineage: Bacteria
Description: partial 16S ribosomal RNA
Rfam family: Bacterial small subunit ribosomal RNA
Source: RNAcentral